AGAGUUUGAUCCUGGCUCAGGAUGAACGCUAGCUACAGGCUUAACACAUGCAAGUCGAGGGGAAACGACAUCGAAAGCUUGCUUUUGAUGGGCGUCGACCGGCGCACGGGUGAGUAACGCGUAUCCAACCUGCCCAUCACUUGGGGAUAACCUUGCGAAAGUAAGACUAAUACCCAAUGAUAUCUCUAGAAGACAUCUGAAGGAGAUUAAAGAUUUAUCGGUGAUGGAUGGGGAUGCGUCUGAUUAGCUUGUUGGCGGGGUAACGGCCCACCAAGGCGACGAUCAGUAGGGGUUCUGAGAGGAAGGUCCCCCACAUUGGAACUGAGACACGGUCCAAACUCCUACGGGAGGCAGCAGUGAGGAAUAUUGGUCAAUGGGCGAGAGCCUGAACCAGCCAAGUAGCGUGCAGGAUGACGGCCCUAUGGGUUGUAAACUGCUUUUAUAAGGGAAUAAAGUGAGUCUCGUGAGACUUUUUGCAUGUACCUUAUGAAUAAGGACCGGCUAAUUCCGUGCCAGCAGCCGCGGUAAUACGGAAGGUCCGGGCGUUAUCCGGAUUUAUUGGGUUUAAAGGGAGCGUAGGCCGGAGAUUAAGCGUGUUGUGAAAUGUAGAUGCUCAACGUCUGCACUGCAGCGCGAACUGGUUUCCUUGAGUACGCACAAAGUGGGCGGAAUUCGUGGUGUAGCGGUGAAAUGCUUAGAUAUCACGAAGAACUCCGAUUGCGAAGGCAGCUCACUGGAGCGCAACUGACGCUGAAGCUCGAAAGUGCGGGUAUCGAACAGGAUUAGAUACCCUGGUAGUCCGCACGGUAAACGAUGGAUGCCCGCUGUUGGUCUGAAUAGGUCAGCGGCCAAGAGAAAGCAUUAAGCAUCCCACCUGGGGAGUACGCCGGCAACGGUGAAACUCAAAGGAAUUGACGGGGGCCCGCACAAGCGGAGGAACAUGUGGUUUAAUUCGAUGAUACGCGAGGAACCUUACCCGGGCUUGAAUUGCAGAGGAAGGAUUUGGA
Molecule: ribosomal RNA, 1007 nt
Filed under: uncultured bacterium
Lineage: Bacteria
Description: bacterial SSU rRNA
Rfam family: Bacterial small subunit ribosomal RNA
Source: RNAcentral